Molecule: long non-coding RNA, 759 nt
Filed under: Pan troglodytes (chimpanzee)
Lineage: Eukaryota; Metazoa; Chordata; Mammalia; Primates; Hominidae
Description: long non-coding RNA NONPTRT015692
Source: RNAcentral
UUCCCUGGCAAGAUUCUUCUGAAUUGUGCUGCCUUGACCAAAAGAGGGGCCAGUGUCAUUCAAAGAUGUGGCUGUGGAUUUCACCCAGGAGGAGUGGUGGCAACUGGACCCUGAUGAGAAGAUAACAUACGGGGGUGUGAUGUUGGAGAACUACAGCCAUCUAGUUUCCUUGGCUUAUGAGGUGGCAACAUCUUGUACUUCGGAGAUUCUGAAGCCGAGAAACUUGCCCAAGUCCUUCUUCUUUUCCCAUUAACAAGAUAUGAUAUCACCAAGCCAAACGUCAUCAUUAAGUUGGAGCAGGGAGAGGAGCUGUGGAUAACGGGAGGUGAAUUUCCAUGUCAACAUAGUCCAGGACAUUUUGACCUCUGCUGUGGCAGAACCUCCAAGGCGAGGAGGCUGUGGGGAACCCAGGGGAGGUGUCUAGGGCAGCUCUGCCUUUUGCCCAGCCUGGGGAGUCCAGUGGCAUCAGCCGAAGCCCCUCCCACCCUCCUCUGGGCAGAUCGUGAAGAAGUCAUGCUACCCACGCUGGAAUGAGACGUUUGAAUUUGAGCUGCAGGAGGGGGCCAUGGAGGCGCUGUGCGUGGAGGCCUGGGACUGGGACCUUGUCAGCCGAAACGACUUCCUGGGCAAAGUGGUGAUCGAUGUCCAGAGACUGCGGGUGGCGCAGCAGGAGGAGGGCUGGUUCCGGCUGCAGCCCGACCAGUCCAAGAGCCGGCGGCAUGACGAGGCCCAGGGCAGCUGAUCCCACUCAUCGAGGAG